RNAcentral lists this ribosomal RNA (497 nucleotides) under uncultured bacterium. RNAcentral's name for it is "partial 16S ribosomal RNA". It matches the Rfam family "Bacterial small subunit ribosomal RNA", at positions 28 to 507 of the family's 1533-position model. The record is from RNAcentral.
GAUGAACGCUGGCGGCGUGCCUAAUACAUGCAAGUCGAGCGAACGGACGAGAAGCUUGCUUCUCUGAUGUUAGCGGCGGACGGGUGAGUAACACGUGGAUAACCUACCUAUAAGACUGGGAUAACUUCGGGAAACCGGAGCUAAUACCGGAUGAUAUUUUGAACCGCAUGGUUCAAAAGUGAAAGACGGUCUUGCUGUCACUUAUAGAUGGAUCCGCGCUGCAUUAGCUAGUUGGUAAGGUAACGGCUUACCAAGGCAACGAUGCAUAGCCGACCUGAGAGGGUGAUCGGCCACACUGGAACUGAGACACGGUCCAGACUCCUACGGGAGGCAGCAGUAGGGAAUCUUCCGCAAUGGGCGAAGGCCUGACGGAGCAACGCCGCGCGAGUGAUGAAGGUCUUCGGAUCGUAAAACUCUGUUAUUAGGGAAGAACAUAUGUGUAAGUAACUGUGCACAUCUUGACGGUACCUAAUCAGAAAGCCACGGCUAACUACGUG